This 126-nucleotide small RNA is filed under the name Marmota monax (woodchuck). Lineage: Eukaryota; Metazoa; Chordata; Mammalia; Rodentia; Sciuridae. The record is from RNAcentral.
GCUGGAUGUAGUAGCGUAUGCCUGUAAUCCCAGCAGCUCGGGAGUUUGAGGUAGGAGUAUCGUAAUUUCAAGUCUGCUUCAGCAACUUAGUGAAGCCCUGCAAUUUAGUGAGACACUGUCUCAAAA